This 1479-nucleotide ribosomal RNA is filed under the name uncultured prokaryote. Its description in RNAcentral is "partial 16S ribosomal RNA". It matches the Rfam family "Bacterial small subunit ribosomal RNA". The record is from RNAcentral.
GAGUUUGAUCCUGGCUCAGAACGAACGCUGGCGGCAUGCCUAACACAUGCAAGUCGAACGAACCCUUCGGGGUUAGUGGCGCACGGGUGCGUAACGCGUGGGAACCUGCCUUUAGGUUCGGAAUAACUCAGAGAAAUUUGAGCUAAUACCGGAUAAUGUCUUCGGACCAAAGAUUUAUCGCCUUUAGAUGGGCCCGCGUUAGAUUAGAUAGUUGGUGGGGUAAUGGCCUACCAAGUCGACGAUCUAUAGCUGGUCUGAGAGGAUGAUCAGCCACACUGGGACUGAGACACGGCCCAGACUCCUACGGGAGGCAGCAGUGGGGAAUAUUGGACAAUGGGCGAAAGCCUGAUCCAGCAAUGCCGCGUGAGUGAUGAAGGCCUUAGGGUUGUAAAGCUCUUUUACCAGGGAUGAUAAUGACAGUACCUGGAGAAUAAGCUCCGGCUAACUCCGUGCCAGCAGCCGCGGUAAUACGGAGGGAGCUAGCGUUGUUCGGAAUUACUGGGCGUAAAGCGCGCGUAGGCGGCUUUCUAAGUCAGGGGUGAAAUCCCGGGGCUCAACCCCGGAACUGCCCUUGAAACUGGAUGGCUAGAAUACUGGAGAGGUGAGUGGAAUUCCGAGUGUAGAGGUGAAAUUCGUAGAUAUUCGGAAGAACACCAGUGGCGAAGGCGACUCACUGGACAGUUAUUGACGCUGAGGUGGCGAAAGCGUGUGAGCAAACAGGAUUAGAUACCCUGGUAGUCCACGCCGUAAACGAUGAUAACUAGCUGUCCGGGCUCAUAGAGCUUGGGUGGCGCAGCUAACGCAUUAAGUUAUCCGCCUGGGGAGUACGGUCGCACGAUUAAAACUCAAAGGAAUUGACGGGGGCCCGCACAAGCGGUGGAGCAUGUGGUUUAAUUCGAUGCAACGCGAAGAACCUUACCUGGGCUUGAACUGUGCAGGAAACUUUCUGAAAGGGAAGCCUCCUUCGGGACUUGUACAGAGGUGCUGCAUGGCUGUCGUCAGCUCGUGUCGUGAGAUGUUGGGUUAAGUCCUGUAACGAGCGCAACCCCUGCCGUUAGUUGCCAUCAGAUAAUGCUGGGCACUCUAGCGGGACUGCCGGAGUUAAUCCGGAGGAAGGCGGGGAUGACGUCAAGUCCUCAUGGCCCUUACGUCCAGGGCUACACACGUGCUACAAUGGGCGGUACAAUGAGUCGCAAUACCGCGAGGUGGAGCUAAUCUCAAAAAACCGUCCUCAGUUCGGAUUGUAGUCUGCAACUCGACUACAUGAAGCCGGAAUCGCUAGUAAUCGUGGAUCAGCAUGCCACGGUGAAUACGUUCCCGGGCCUUGUACACACCGCCCGUCACACCAUGGAAGUCGGGAGUACCAGAAGUCGCCGAGCUAACCUUCGGGAAGCAGGCGCCCAAGCUGUUGUUGACGACUGGGGUGAAGUCGUAACAAGGUAGCCGUAGGAGAACCUGCGGCUGGAUCACCUCCUUUCU